UAGCUGGGAUCACUCUAAUUGCAUCUAGGACUAAGGCAAAGGCGACAUAUGUGACUCUUAUCUGCAAGAACUGUAGAAAUUCAAAGCAAGUUCCUUGUCGGCCAGGCCUUGGUGGUGCAAUUGUCCCUCCCUCUUGUGAUCAUAUCCCUCAGCCGGGAGAAGAGCCAUGCCCACUUGAUCCAUGGCUUGUGGUUCCAGAUAAGAGCAAGUAUGUUGAUCAACAAACCUUGAAAUUGCAGGAGAAUCCAGAGGAUGUUCCAACUGGGGAGCUUCUGAGGAACUUUUUUUCUCUCUUUUUUCGAUUGUUUCGUACGGGACAUAGGGAAAGAUGACUCCAUUCAUGUCCAACACCGUUCCAUAUAUAUGCUUUUUAAACUAUUAUAAAAAUAUGUUUGGUUUAUAAAAAAAUAUUAUAACAAUAAAUUUGUAAAAUAAUGUGUCUUGAGGUUGUU
Long non-coding RNA from Carya illinoinensis, 452 nucleotides. RefSeq lists it as uncharacterized. Lineage: Eukaryota; Viridiplantae; Streptophyta; Magnoliopsida; Fagales; Juglandaceae. The transcript is spliced from 3 exons. The record is from RefSeq and is a predicted model, not a curated record.